UUCCUGGUGGCCUAGUGGUUAGGACUUGGUGCUUUUACCCCUGUAGCCUGGGUUCAAUCCCCGGUCUGGAAA
Molecule: transfer RNA, 72 nt
Filed under: Sus scrofa (pig)
Lineage: Eukaryota; Metazoa; Chordata; Mammalia; Artiodactyla; Suidae
Rfam family: tRNA
About the family: Transfer RNA (tRNA) molecules are approximately 80 nucleotides in length. Their secondary structure includes four short double-helical elements and three loops (D, anti-codon, and T loops). Further hydrogen bonds mediate the characteristic L-shaped molecular structure. tRNAs have two regions of fundamental functional importance: the anti-codon, which is responsible for specific mRNA codon recognition, and the 3' end, to which the tRNAs corresponding amino acid is attached (by aminoacyl-tRNA synthetases). tRNAs cope with the degeneracy of the genetic code in two manners: having more than one tRNA (with a specific anti-codon) for a particular amino acid; and 'wobble' base-pairing, i.e. permitting non-standard base-pairing at the 3rd anti-codon position.
Source: Rfam by way of RNAcentral